CUUAUUAGAAACAGGGAAACAUAUAAAAGGUAACUAGCAUUAGUGGAUAUAUAUCUUAUCUGUCAAAUACUUGCAGACUGAAAAAAAAAUAAUUGCUCUCAGGGAGUAAAUCUAAAAGUCAACCAAUGCUUUGUCUUCUAAUAAUUUUUGUGUGUAAGAAUUUAAUCCAAUCCACUAGACAGAAUACAAGUGAAAGAGGACUAUCGAGAAUACAGGACAGUCUGAAUGAAACACUGUCUUUUUGCUCCACGCCUCCUUUCCCCAGCUCAGCAGAGAAGCAGCAGCAGAUCUAACUCCCUCACAUUCUUUAGGCACGACAGAACUUGUUCCAGAAGUCCAGCCCAUCUCCUCUCCAGGAAAACCCUCCUCGCUUCCUCUCUUGAUGCCGAGAUAAAAAACUGCUGGCACAGAAGCAGAGCCAAGCAAGGUUUUGGCAUAGGAAAUGGCUCUCCUACCACUGCCAGAACAAGGGAAUGCUGGAAAGAAGAUCCCCGGAGAGGGUUUAACUUCACUUUGCGCCAUGUAAGCAGCACAACGUGAGACUGAAGAAGAACAGAUCCUGUCUCAAAACUGUUUGGAGAUCAUAGAAAUGUAGAAAGCCUAUGCUUGAAUUUUAUAUAUACCAACGGAAUAAAAUGUAUUUCCUGCAAGUAUCAAGCAGUUUAGUGGAGCUUCAGAAUUAACAAAUAUUAUUUACACCCACUUUCUGGCCUGCUACAGUAUCAGGGUAAACAAAAUUCAAGUAUAUACUUUCUCCUUCGCAGCUAUAGACAGAAAUUCUAGUGUGCUGGGUUUUGAUGCCAAUAAAAAUUGUUUGCCUAAGGACAAACUUUGGAGGAAUGGAAAUUUUCCAGUAUCUCCUGAUUCUUGUCAGGCUGGCUGUACCACAGAAAUUACUGUUCUUGAGACAUUUCUGUGUUUCUUUCACCAAAAUGUAGGGAAUUCAAAACUUUAAAAAAAAAAAAAAAAAAAGCUUUAAAAUAGGAAUGAAACAUUUCCGGAUAUCCCAGGUAUUUGUCAAAUUUCUGGACAAGAUUUGGGGUUUGUCUGUCUUCGAGUUUAAGCUUUGGGUUUCUCCAGAUUUGUAGACACUAUCAUUAAUACUUAAUCACAGCACAGAGCAGCCCUUUUGCUUACUUCUGCUAGGUUUUUUGGGUGCUUUGCCUGCUGCAAGUGAAAACAUAAAAAUGUAAAGAACCAGAAACGAAUGUGGAAAAAAUCUCUGAAAAUAAAACUAACACUAAUUUAAUGUUUUAAAUUGUUAAAAAUAAGACACAUGUAAAUGAUUUUUUGUGUUUGUUUAAGGAAGUUCUGUUUAAUGUUAAUUUAGUGAAAUUCAUCUGUUGCAUAAACUUCUAGGAAUUAUUUGAAGAUUCUUAGGAAGAUUAAUUGGUCUUGUUUUGGAAUGGUACUUGCUACUUUUUGAAAUAAAGUAGAAGAAAAUAAGAAUACAUAAGAAUUUGAAUCCUUCUCAACUGACGUAAGAAAACACAAAAUAUAAUGCAAAAUUUUUGGCUGAUUUGACUGAAAAAAAAGGUUUAAUCCUAUACAGCUGUGCUGAAUUCAAAGUAACGUGGUUCCUGAGUACCUUUGUGCACAACUCCGAGCCCACGGCAACGUGACUCAGUGAUUACAGAACACUCCUGUCGUGUUCAGGAUAUUAGAUUCUGGACAAGGCUAUGCUCUCAUGUAGAGAUUUAAGAAAAGGGGAGAAUUGCAUGUUAAAUUAGAGGUCACUGUCGGCUUCCUUGUCUUGCACUGCAAAUGCUGCAAAAAAUAACAAAGUAGCAAAUGGCAAAUACAUACCUUUGCAAUA
Long non-coding RNA from Calidris pugnax (ruff), 1816 nucleotides. RefSeq lists it as uncharacterized. The record is from RefSeq and is a predicted model, not a curated record. Lineage: Eukaryota; Metazoa; Chordata; Aves; Charadriiformes; Scolopacidae. The transcript has 2 exons.